RNAcentral lists this ribosomal RNA (239 nucleotides) under uncultured bacterium. RNAcentral describes it as "partial 16S ribosomal RNA". It matches the Rfam family "Bacterial small subunit ribosomal RNA", at positions 14 to 235 of the family's 1533-position model. The record is from RNAcentral.
GAAUCAUGGCUCAGGAUGAACGCUGGCGGCGUGCUUAACACAUGCAAGUCGAACGAAGCACUUUAAUUGAUUUCUUCGGAAUGAAGUUUUUGUGACUGAGUGGCGGACGGGUGAGUAACGCGUGGGUAACCUGCCUCAUACAGGGGGAUAACAGUUGGAAACGACUGCUAAUACCGCAUAAGCGCACAGGAUUGCAUGAUCCAGUGUGAAAAACUCCGGUGGUAUGAGAUGGACCCGCG